This 207-nucleotide ribosomal RNA is filed under the name uncultured bacterium. Its description in RNAcentral is "partial 16S ribosomal RNA". It matches the Rfam family "Bacterial small subunit ribosomal RNA", at positions 568 to 774 of the family's 1533-position model. The record is from RNAcentral.
CACGCAGGCGGUCAGCCAAGUUCGGAGUGACAGUUUCCGGCUUAACUGGGAAAGGUCUUCGAAAACUGGCUGACUUGAGGACUUGAGGGGGAGACGGAAUUCCGGGUGGAGCGGUGAAAUGCGUAGAGAUCCGGAGGAACACCGAAGGCGAAGGCAGUCUCCUGGCAAGUUACUGACGCUCAGGUGCGAAAGCUAGGGGAGCGAACA